AACGGCCAUACCAUGCUCAAUAUACCGGUUCUCGUUAGAUCACCGAAGUCAAGCAUCAUUGGGCGCGGUCAGUACUUGGGUGGGUGACCACCUGGGAACACCAGGUGCCGUU
Molecule: ribosomal RNA, 112 nt
Filed under: Caerostris extrusa
Lineage: Eukaryota; Metazoa; Arthropoda; Arachnida; Araneae; Araneidae
Source: RNAcentral